UUUAAAAUUAAUUCUACGUUUAACAUAACCCGCGCGCGUAGGUUUCGGCGAAAUUGUCGUUUUGAAAAAACAAACAAAUCCGGAUUUGAAAAAGUCGUUCGGGUUUGGGUUUUCAUUUAGCGACUGAAUUCUACAUCCUGUACGAGAAAAAACAUGCUCAAAGACAGCAUUGAGGAAGAAACUAACAGGUGUCCCAGCUAAAGUGGAAGAACAGAGAAAAGUGGAAUACACUUGUAAGGUGACAGCUAUUUCAAGAACCCUGUCUUGAGUUCUUAGAAGAAGAUAAUCUGUGAAUAACAUGUGUUGCGCAACAAUUUCCCUUAAAAGAAAGUUUUCCCUUCCGUUGCUAUGUUGAUGUAAAUCCAUUGGAUGUACCACUUAAUGUGCUUGCAAGUCACUCCACUUCUCGUCCAGUAUACAUGAUGUACCCACAGAAAGGAUAUAAACAUAAAUUACACAAAAGUAUAUGCUCUGAAAAUGCAAAAAUUAACAUGAACUGAAUCCUACCUUAUGUAUUUUAUGACAGUGUUGAUGUAUUAAUAACUGAAUGGGUGACUUUCAAUAAAAACACACUUGUUUGAAA
This is a long non-coding RNA of Magallana angulata, 583 nucleotides long. RefSeq lists it as uncharacterized. The transcript has 3 exons. The record is from RefSeq and is a predicted model, not a curated record. NCBI's taxonomy places the organism in Eukaryota, Metazoa, Mollusca, Bivalvia, Ostreida, Ostreidae.